CAGGGGGCGCAAGGCAGCCGCGGGCCAUCAGGUCCGAGGAAAGUCCGGGCUCCACGAAACCAGGGUGGCGGGUAACGCCCGCCGCGGGCAACCGCAGGGAAAGUGCCACAGAGAGCAAACCGCCCCGGCCAACGGGGUAAGGGUGAAAGGGUGCGGUAAGAGCGCACCGGGGCCGCGGCAACGCGGUCCGCCAAGGCAAACCCCACCCGGAGCAAGGCCGAAUAGGGGCGGCGCGUCGGUACGAGCCGGCAGGGGUGUUUCGCCCCUAGCGCAAGCUGCGACCGCCCGGGUUGGCUGCUCGAGCCGCGGAGCGAUCUGCGGUCCAGAUGAAUGGCUGCCCUCGCGCGGCCGGUCCGGCAACGGAUACCGCGUGCGAGACAGAACCCGGCUUACCGCGUCCCCUGGCAC
This 408-nucleotide RNase P RNA is filed under the name Sphingomonadaceae bacterium. Its description in RNAcentral is "RNase P RNA component class A". It matches the Rfam family "Bacterial RNase P class A". Rfam says of the family: Ribonuclease P (RNase P) is a ubiquitous endoribonuclease, found in archaea, bacteria and eukarya as well as chloroplasts and mitochondria. Lineage: Bacteria; Pseudomonadati; Pseudomonadota; Alphaproteobacteria; Sphingomonadales; Sphingomonadaceae. The record is from RNAcentral.